AACUUUAAAGCUAUAUUAGCAUUUCACUUACACUGAAAAGAUAGAAACAACUCAAUUUAAUUU
RNAcentral lists this transfer RNA (63 nucleotides) under Argiope perforata. RNAcentral describes it as "tRNA-Val". Lineage: Eukaryota; Metazoa; Arthropoda; Arachnida; Araneae; Araneidae. The record is from RNAcentral.